RNAcentral lists this ribosomal RNA (460 nucleotides) under uncultured Treponema sp. RNAcentral's name for it is "partial 16S ribosomal RNA". It matches the Rfam family "Bacterial small subunit ribosomal RNA", at positions 341 to 792 of the family's 1533-position model. Lineage: Bacteria; Pseudomonadati; Spirochaetota; Spirochaetia; Treponematales; Treponemataceae. The record is from RNAcentral.
ACGGGAGGCAGCAGCUAAGAAUAUUCCGCAAUGGACGAAAGUCUGACGGAGCGACGCCGCGUGGAUGAUGAAGGCCGGAAGGUUGUAAAAUCCUUUUAUAACUGAGGAAUAAGUAUUAUCAGAGAAAGGUAGUAUGGUGACUGUAGGUUAUGAAUAAGCAACGGCUAAUUACGUGCCAGCAGCCGCGGUAACACGUAAGUUGCGAGCGUUGUUCGGAAUUAUUGGGCGUAAAGGGCAUGUAGGCGGUUUUGCAAGCUUGGUGUGAAAUCCCGGAGCUCAACUCCGGAAUUGCGUUGAGAACUGCAUAACUAGAGUGACUGAGGGGCAGGCAGAAUUCCAGGUGUAGGGGUGAAAUCUGUAGAUAUCUGGAAGAAUACCAAUGGCGAAGGCAGCCUGCCAGCAGAUGACUGACGCUGAGGUGCGAAGGUGCGGGGAGCAAACAGGAUUAGAUACCCUGGUA